RNAcentral lists this long non-coding RNA (1384 nucleotides) under Equus caballus (horse). Its description in RNAcentral is "lncRNA (ENSECAG00000031308.3)". The record is from RNAcentral. Lineage: Eukaryota; Metazoa; Chordata; Mammalia; Perissodactyla; Equidae.
GGAGAGUGGAAAUGCACUCAGAUCGAUGCCUGGAUGUAAAAUGUGUCACUUGACUCCACACCAAAGAGCCCAGGUGUCCAGAAGUAAAACCACUUAGCAAUGGACACAAGGGAACAUGUCUUCUCACGAAGUGGCUGAUUCAACGCUGAAGAGAGAUUUACCACUAAAGCAAAACAGGGCCCACUGACGCUCCUGGCUGCUUUAGGGCUGCCCCCUUCAGGUCACCUGCCCAGGGCAACCUCCUACCUCUUACAACUGGGGGUUCUUUCAGUUGCCACCACCCAGAGGGCCACAAGAGGGUGCUUUUCUCCUUUCAGGUUAUGCCUUUUUGAAAUGCAGCUCCUCAUACUUCUCAGAACCAAGCGAGUUUCCUGAGCCUUGGGAAAUUCAGUACAUUCAGCUGUGGGCCAACAGACUUGAUUCUAGGGGAGAGAAAGGAGAGAGAAAUGUUCCCAGAGAUACCUUCACCUGCUCGUUGUGGGAGGACACCUGGAAAGACACCUGCAGCAUAACAAGAUCUUUGUUACCACCAACAUGGGUCAGCCUCUUCCGCAGGAAAUAAAGAGUGAUUAAUGUUGUGUGGUAGAAGAGAAGAGAAGUCUGGAAUGUGGCCUUACCUCAGGAAUAUACUCAGUUUUAGGGAAACUGAUCCAGUGUCUGAUCUAAGGAUCACAUUUGAAGAGAAGCAGAAUGAGAGCUGGGCAAAGUUGGAAAAUGGAGCCACAGAAAUAUUGACCCAGUACCACCAGGCUGAGUGCUUCUUUCUAGUAUGUUCUUUAUACACCAGACCUCUGCCGAAUAAUGGAGUUCCAGAGCUGGAAGAGAUCCUCAGAUGUCAUGAAGUCAUCCACUGCCUCCCAGCAAGUUUCAUUUGGAUGGUCUGUUCAGAUUGUCUGUUCCCAGUUGUGGGCUGGGCAAGGAGCAUCCACAGGUCUCUGGAUCUGGAAGGCUCCACAACUCUCUCACCAGCCCUUGUAUCGUUGGAAGAAAUUACACCAACAAACUAUGUACUUUUGCCGAAGAUAAUUAUUACAACACCGACCUUUCCUGGAACCAAACUUAGCAAGAAUAAGUGAUGCUCUUGUCUUAGAGGAUGUGUCAGUUAUCAAUUUAUUGCCUUACGGUUACAAUUCACUCUUCAUUGCCUGCUCCAAGAAAAUGUAUAUGGGCCUUUUAAACAUUUUUUGUUUGCCAGAUGAUACCGUGUUAAGCUUUGGCAGUAGAAAGCGCCUGAAAGACAUUUCAGGAGGAAAGAAUUUUGCUCCCUAAACAGACUCCUAGAGUGCAUGUGACUUCUCCAGCACCUGGCUUCUGCCGUGCAUGGUAGGCAGCAGCACCCAGUGCCCAGCAGCUUAUUCUUGCCCCUCUUCCUGGUGAUUUUGUG